UUUAAAGCACAGGCUAGUUCUAUAAAUGUAGCAGUUUGCUGCUGUCAGCUGGCUAGAGACUUUACUUGGCUGAACUACUGUAUGAAACAUUUGGCAGGUAUUGCAACUGGGGCUUGAGUGAAUGUGGAGGAAACAAGUGGAAAGACCUGGUAAUAAAUACGAUUCUGUGAAAUGAAGGAAGAAAUGUGUUUUGAACUCGAGAAUAAGAAACACCCGAAUGAUAGAUAAAAUAACACCUGAAUAAACAACACCCAAAUGAUAGAAUCAACUAGACUUAAAAUAGUAGUGGAAAGCAUGUGAAGGAUCUGAUGAAAAAGGAAGCAAGAGGACUUCACGCAACUGAUCAGUCUCAUGCGACUCCACCACUAUUCUAGGAGAUGAAUGAAUAAAAUAUAUCUCUCUGAAUGCUAUUAUUCAAUUUUGAGGUAGCUAUUGAUUCAGUGGAAUGAGCCCUUUGUUAACUCCAAAGAAUAUGUUACAUUACUGUUAAAAUCAGACCUAUGUAAAAAGUAGGUCUGAUUUUAAAAUUAAGCACUAUUUAAGAAGAGAAGUCAAAAUAAUACCAGAAAGCAUGAGUGAGAGUAAUGCAAGGGAUUAGCAUUUCUAUAAUCUUCUCAUAAAUCAAUGUUACGGAAACAUGCAAGAAAGAAAAUUUGUAAAAGGUAUCUCAUUCACAAAUUACUCCAUGUAGUUCUCUUCAGUGAUGAGAUGCUUACUGCACUUAUGUAUCAAAGAUGAGUCCUAUAUAAUGAAAAUCACAACAAGUGAGACUGCAGGACAGUAAAGAAACACAUAUUGAAUGACCUCAUGAAGCAUUGCGUCUACUUAUUAUGAUGAGAAAAACAUGACAAAUAAUGAAGCCCAUGGAGAUACACAAAGUAACAUUUUAAAAAGCAUUGAAAUGAUUUAAGAGUCCAAGUCCUAAGCAACCAAAGAUGCUAACAUGACAUUAAUUCCACUGAAUACAUUGAUGAAUAUUGUGCACAAUGGUAUAUUAUUUAUUCAUUGCCUCCCAUUGUUUGUGUAUCAGUUAGGAUGGAUACGGUACAUGGAAUCCUAACUUGAAUUUUGUUUUUCACAGUUAGUCAAAAUCCAGAGUCAUUGAAUUAGUUGUUCCUUAUUUGAUCAAGGUUAAAACAGAAUUUUGUAUAGCGUGUAUAGCACGCAGACCUUGGGCUAAGAGUAAUAAGCCUGUCAUUCUUUAAAUUUACUUGCCUGUUUUUGUGUUCCUCAGAUGUAUUCUUAAACUAUACCCCAAAAGAGAAAACCAAUAGUGAUGUUUUAGUAUGGAAUUUGUAUCUACUUCGGCUGUCCUGUUUGUGAUAAAAAGGGUAACAGUGCCCCAAGUUACAAGUGAAAAACUUACAGAUAAAAUUCCUUCUUAUUUCUAUUAUGUGCUGGUCUAACAAGCAAAAAAAAAUUAUCCAAGGACACUGCAAAUAAAGAGACUGGUAUUCUUAUCCUCUAGUGUCUUAAGUAACAGUUUAAAUUAAGAAAUUUAUGAAACAUUAAUAUUUUUAAAACAGAACUUUUCCUCUUCUUUCUUUGAAUAUCUGUUAUCAUUGACUCGUAUAAUGGCAUCUGACCAAAAAAUGGAGGUUUUCUUUAAAAACACAAAGAGAAAUUCAGUAAAUCAGGUUUGUAUUUUCUAAUCUGUAAACAUUUUAAAUUUAUUUUGAGUCUUAAAUAUGUUGAGGCUAUCGCAUUUGCUUUGACUAAACUCUAAUAGAUUGCUGCUAGCUACAGAAGAUUAGGGGAGGGAGAAUUUACUACUUUUCCAGACCUCAACCUUUAUCUUUGUCAAAAUAAAAUGUUUCUAUUUUUUCCAAAAUUCAUUUUUCUUAUUGCCUACAGCAAAAACAAGAAAGAUGCUUAGGUC
Molecule: long non-coding RNA, 1879 nt
Organism: Alligator mississippiensis (American alligator)
Lineage: Eukaryota; Metazoa; Chordata; Crocodylia; Alligatoridae
Exons: 3
Source: RefSeq, a predicted model, not a curated record